This 551-nucleotide long non-coding RNA is filed under the name Homo sapiens (human). Its description in RNAcentral is "HSALNT0343379". Lineage: Eukaryota; Metazoa; Chordata; Mammalia; Primates; Hominidae. The record is from RNAcentral.
CAGAGACCCGCCCCGGCCCGCAGGACACCCCCUCGGAACGCGCGGCCCCCGGCUAAGUCAUGUUUAACAGCCUCAGAAAUUAUCUUGUCUCCGCGUUCUUUCUUCUGCCGGCGAGCCAGUGUCAUUUGUGGAUUAUUAAAGAAACCUCUCCAUACCUGAUGCAUAAAGAUAGUUAAGGGUAGCUGAAAUACAACAUCAUAAUUUUUACUGGAAAAUAGCCACAAUGAAGGAACACCACAAUUUCACCAUGAAAACCAGCACAACCUUACACAGAUGACAAACAUUUCCCCUCAAAACUUGUUAAACUGUAUUUGGGCUGACCAAAUUAACCAGAGUUAUUCUAUUUAUGGGGGAGCAGGAAGUAACUUGAUAAAAUGCUUUGAGUUUAUAUAUCAUGUCAAAUAAAUAGCAUAAUUUUAAAGGAAAAAAACUUGUUAGGCAAUGUUCUCUUAUUUUCUGACAUCACAUAUUGUGACAGAAUGUAAGGCCAACCUGGUUUUUACAAAUUCCGUGGUCUAAUUUUUUUGUUGUUGUUAGUGUAUAAAAAUAGC